RNAcentral lists this ribosomal RNA (486 nucleotides) under uncultured bacterium. Its description in RNAcentral is "bacterial SSU rRNA". It matches the Rfam family "Bacterial small subunit ribosomal RNA", at positions 28 to 507 of the family's 1533-position model. The record is from RNAcentral.
GAUGAACGCUAGCGGCAGGCCUAACACAUGCAAGUCGAGGGGUAACAUAGAAAAGCUUGCUUUUCUGAUGACGACCGGCGCACGGGUGCGUAACGCGUAUACAACCUACCUUUAGCGGGGGAUAGCCCAGGGAAACUUGGAUUAAUGCCUCAUAGUAUAUAAGCUUCUCCUGAAGUUUAUAUUAAACAUUUAUGGCUAUUAGAUGGGUAUGCGUCCUAUUAGUUAGUUGGUAAGGUAACGGCUUACCAAGGCAGCGAUAGGUAGGGGUCCUGAGAGGGAGAUCCCCACACUGGUACUGAGACACGGACCAGACUCCUACGGGAGGCAGCAGUGAGGAAUAUUGGACAAUGGGCGAGAGCCUGAUCCAGCCAUGCCGCGUGCAGGAAGACUGCCCUAUGGGUUGUAAACUGCAUUUACAGAGGAAGAACCACCCCCACGUGUGGGGGUUUGACGGUACUCUGCGAAUAAGGAUCGGCUAACUCCGUG